RNAcentral lists this ribosomal RNA (72 nucleotides) under Paraclostridium sordellii. The record is from RNAcentral. Lineage: Bacteria; Bacillati; Bacillota; Clostridia; Peptostreptococcales; Peptostreptococcaceae.
CAGAAGUUAAGCUCUUUAGCGCCGAUGGUACUUGGUGGGAAGCUGCCUGGGAGAGUAGGACGUAGCCGCGUA